RNAcentral lists this ribosomal RNA (253 nucleotides) under uncultured bacterium. Its description in RNAcentral is "partial 16S ribosomal RNA". It matches the Rfam family "Bacterial small subunit ribosomal RNA", at positions 524 to 776 of the family's 1533-position model. The record is from RNAcentral.
UACGUAGGUGGCAAGCGUUGUCCGGAAUUAUUGGGCGUAAAGCGCGCGCAGGCGGUCUUUUAAGUCUGAUGUGAAAGCCCACGGCUUAACCGUGGAGGGUCAUUGGAAACUGGAGGACUUGAGUGCAGAAGAGGAGAGUGGAAUUCCACGUGUAGCGGUGAAAUGCGUAGAGAUAUGGAGGAACACCAGUGGCGAAAGCGGCUCUUUGGCUCGCAACUGACGCUGAGGCGCGAAAGCGUGGGGAGCAAACAGG